RNAcentral lists this transfer RNA (90 nucleotides) under Paracoccus pantotrophus. RNAcentral's name for it is "tRNA_SeC(p)_TCA". It matches the Rfam family "Selenocysteine transfer RNA". The record is from RNAcentral. Lineage: Bacteria; Pseudomonadati; Pseudomonadota; Alphaproteobacteria; Rhodobacterales; Paracoccaceae.
GGAAGAGAAACAUCCCUGGUGGGAUGCCCGGACUUCAAAUCCGGCGGAAGGCGUCUUGCGUCUUCGGUGGGUUCGAUUCCCGCCUCUUCC